RNAcentral lists this small RNA (132 nucleotides) under Klebsiella pneumoniae. RNAcentral's name for it is "RtT sRNA". It matches the Rfam family "RtT RNA". Rfam says of the family: This family represents a bacterial cis-regulatory element known as RtT RNA. The exact function of RtT is unknown although it is thought that it may be involved in changing the cellular response in relation to amino acid starvation. Lineage: Bacteria; Pseudomonadati; Pseudomonadota; Gammaproteobacteria; Enterobacterales; Enterobacteriaceae. The record is from RNAcentral.
UAUUUUGCCCUACAGGGAAGGAUGAGAAGCUUCGACUAAGGUUCGACUCGAGCGAAGCGAGAGAACGUUGCCGCAGGCAACGGCCCGAAGGGCGAGGAGCGAUAGCGACGAGUUAUCCUUCCCCCACCACCA